Molecule: long non-coding RNA, 824 nt
Organism: Gasterosteus aculeatus aculeatus (three-spined stickleback)
Lineage: Eukaryota; Metazoa; Chordata; Actinopteri; Perciformes; Gasterosteidae
Source: Ensembl
CACACAGAGAGCCCAGGGUGUCCCUCACUGAUGAGCUUGAGCUUUCUGUGAGACUACUGAAGCAUUCGAAGGACGACGCUGGACCAACCUGCCCUUAGACUUUAAAACGCAGCUUCAUAGUCAGCCGUUUAAGGUGAACCUGCCGGUGGGGGUGACAAGCCUCAAGGAUCCUCGUCAGGCCCACAGGCUGCCAGCCGCCGCCUCAGGAUACGGUAUGUUCGCAGGCUUUCCCCUACGCGUGUAUGUUUCCCCAACAACAACCAAAACUGUGUUUUUCAUUAGAAAUGUGUUUUUCUAGUAUAUGUUGACAUAUUGUCAUCAGGCUUGGAUGUUGUCACAGUGAGCAUUGUUGAACUGCUACACUCGGUGUCAUUUUGCGCCGAACUACCAAGCGUUCGGCAGUGAAAUGGCUUGACACAUCCACCGGUGGCUGGAUUACAAGUUUGGUCACAAUCUGAUCUCUGCGACAACUCUGCUGUAUAAGACAGCCCACCCACUCCCCACAGGGGGCCUUCAGAUGAAUCGCCCAACUACACUGACUGAUGCCAAAUAGAAGAAACGUGGAGGGUCGGACAACAGAAUUCAAAUGUCUAAAACCCCACGUUGUCCUUUCAUACCCACUCUCUGACAGGACUGUAACAGAACCAGAUGGAGUGGAUUCACAUUAACACACAUAGACACUACCUUUCAUAGAGAGGUCAUUUUAAGAAGGGUUGGGGCUCCCAGAAGACCGUAGACCUGACUUUGUCUUAAGGUGUCCCAGGAUGAAAAAGUUGGCCACUGAAAUUCAUCCCGCCAGCAGGAAGGGGGACUUGGUAUGUGGG